Molecule: ribosomal RNA, 495 nt
Filed under: uncultured bacterium
Lineage: Bacteria
Description: partial 16S ribosomal RNA
Rfam family: Bacterial small subunit ribosomal RNA
Source: RNAcentral
GACGAACGCUGGCGGCGUGCCUAAUACAUGCAAGUAGAACGCUGAAGGAGGAGCUUGCUUCUCUGGAUGAGUUGCGAACGGGUGAGUAACGCGUAGGUAACCUGCCUGGUAGCGGGGGAUAACUAUUGGAAACGAUAGCUAAUACCGCAUAAUAGUAGAUGUUGCAUGACAUUUGCUUAAAAGGUGCAAUUGCAUCACUACCAGAUGGACCUGCGUUGUAUUAGCUAGUUGGUGAGGUAACGGCUCACCAAGGCAACGAUACAUAGCCGACCUGAGAGGGUGAUCGGCCACACUGGGACUGAGACACGGCCCAGACUCCUACGGGAGGAAGCAGUAGGGAAUCUUCGGCAAUGGACGGAAGUCUGACCGAGCAACGCCGCGUGAGUGAAGAAGGUUUUCGGAUCGUAAAGCUCUGUUGUAAGAGAAGAACGAGUGUGAGAGUGGAAAGUUCACACUGUGACGGUAUCUUACCAGAAAGGGACGGCUAACUACGUG